ACUGGGAAGGACAACGCGACAGGUCAGAGCCGUGUACUGUGCGUCGUCUCCACCGGAUUUGGGUUUUGGAAGGGACUUAAGUCACAGAAUGGAAUAGGAAGACGGGGUUUAAACACGUCCUGUAUCUGAAUGCCAGUUUUCCAUUCCCUUAAACACAAGAUCUGGGAAAACGUAUCCGAAGCCAGAAAAGUCCUGACCCGAGUUAAAAAAAAUGCUGGCUGUACCCGGGACAGAGCUACGCUGGGCCCAGUGGUCCUGCCACUGAACCCGAAGGAGGCUGCCCUUGGGAGUUUUUGUUUCUUACAUCUUGGAAUCCUGGUCAUAAAGGAGCGGGGACUUGGCAGGGGCACCACUGCCCAUGCCGGUGCCUGGUGAGUGCCCAUCCCGCCAGGCCCUUCCUCCCCAUAAAGCCAUCGUUGACCUUCUGACUUUCUAAUCGCAGUGCUCACCAGGUAGGAAACAGGACUCCUCAGGAUCCAGACUCUGACUUCCAACUCACCAUUUAUGGGGCUGGGACAUACUUGUGCCACAGGGCAGAGACGAGUGCCCAGGACAGGUGCCAUUCAGCAGCAUGUCACAUGGGCGAGGGUGGGGAGGGCCUGCCGGCUCAGUCCCUCAGUUACACGCCCAGUUCCCUCCCCCCUCACCAGGUGUGUGCUGUGCACCUACCAGUGCUGGGCCAGGCACGUUCCCCAGAACACUGAGCCGUAAGUGAGGGACGAGGGUCCCUGCUCCAUGGAUCUAUCGCGUUGGGUCUCCUCCCUCCCAUGUAGCCACACGUGGAGCCAGCCCUGUGCAGCCCCCACCCCUCAGCUCCCGGGGCCUGGAGGGCCCUUGGAAGGGCUGAGCCCGGGACCUCCUGCGGGGGCCGCCACAUGUCCCCGAGCAAGCCGUGGGACUGUCCAAGACCAACGUGACGGGGAGCUGUUCCGGGCACGGGAUGUGACAAGCACGGGCCCCGCUUGAGCCAGUGAAGGACAUGAGGGUGUCUCAGACCACCAGAAACCACGGCACGAAGGUCGGAAGGGCUUGCACACUUUGCUGUUAGCAGCAGCCCGGGACGGGAACAAGAAAGGCAGCUCUGGAAAACCAACUAUGAAACCAGAGAAGACGCCCCUCGCUGGGCUGGCUCCCGCCACUGGAUUUCGGACCAGGCGGUGUGGUCACAGAUCAAGGACAUCCCCAAGGCGACCCGAGGCGGUAUAGCGUGUGCUAGGGGACUCCCAGGCAGGACUUCUCCUAGGACCACCUGGGACCACCAUCCCAGGGGCUGAUCACGGCCCCACAGGGUCCCUGUCAAUUAUAGGUGAACAGGUGAGUUUCCAAAUCGCUUCCGGGGCCCAGAUCCUCACGACGGCAGGAACCAUGCCCUUCACCCCCAUCCCUGCCUUGGGGGCGAGGUGGGGUGGGAACUGGGUCUUUUGUGCUUUACCAGGUCCCAGUCGAUGCUGCGAAAGAAUGCAUGAGACUUGAUAUCGGAAAAUCCAGUCUGUGGCCGGCAGCCGAGCCUCUCUUUGGGGUCCUAGGGGUCAGAGAUCAAAUAAGGACAUGUCAGCAUUGAGCAAAGAAGCCCCAAGUCAUGGCAAGAGAAAACCAGCUUUCCUUCCCUCCAGGAUAGAAAGAGCUUCCUCGAAUCAUCUCCAGCCAGUCUUAACCAGCCCGGUGAUGAGCAGACAUUCCCUUCACUAAAAAUUCUACCCCUAACACCGGAGGCUUCGUUAAAUUUCUCUUUGGCAUGA
This is a long non-coding RNA of Neofelis nebulosa (Clouded leopard), 1739 nucleotides long. RefSeq lists it as uncharacterized. The record is from RefSeq and is a predicted model, not a curated record. The transcript has 2 exons. NCBI's taxonomy places the organism in Eukaryota, Metazoa, Chordata, Mammalia, Carnivora, Felidae.